CACAUAUGAGUUGGUUUUCCUUACUUAAAAUAUGCUUAUCAUCCCUUGGAGCACUUGAAAAUAUUGGCUAUUUCCUUCUGACCCCCAUGGUUUCUUUUAAAAAAUUUGCUGUUGUUUGAAUGAUUUUUCUCUACAGGUAUUGACUCCUGCCUCAUGAAGGCUGGUCCUGUCUCUAUAGUGAAUAUUGUGCAUCUCAGGGUAGAAUGGAGAGCACAAGACUUCAAAUCAGGCAGUCCGGGUUCAGACCCCAAUUCUAGUGCUAAAUAGCUACGUGACUUUAGGCUGAUUGUGUGUGACUUCCCUGAGCCCCAGUCUCUUUGCCUGCAAAAUGAGAAAAAUGAUAACAAUGUCAUCGGUUGUUCUAAGGAUUCUGAGAGGAAUUAGUAGGAGAGAGAACUAAGAAGCUGCAGGCCUCUACAGAGCCAUUCAACUGGCAUUUCGGAAGAUGUUGCCCAUCAGAGUCAGACCUUCUUAGCAUCUUCCAGCUGGGCCCAAACUUCCCAAGACCAUUUGGACAAGGUCAUCUCUAUCCCACCAUGGCCUCCUCCCAGAGGAGGAGAAGAAUCAUGCUGUUACAGCAGAACCGAAGAUUUGGGCAAGGGAGCUAAUGAUUAUGUUCUGCGUCAGGUCAGAGAUGGGCUGGGAAAGCCACUCCAAAGCCAAGACAAGCAGUUUCCUGGAAAAAGAAGGCUGCGCGGAGCCCAGAGUGGCCUGGAUCCUGCCUCAUUUCCUGGACCAGCUCCUUAGGUGGUUACUGGAUUGCCAAUAAAGCAGAGCUUAUUAAAGUCAACGAGCUCAGGCUUCAUCGCCGCCGUGGUAUCCAAGCACCAGUCUGUCUGGGAUUUCAUUUGCCUGAUGGACAAAGGAGAGGUUGUUCCAAUACAUAUCCUGAGUGGUGGGGGUGGGGAGAGAAGGGGAAGAAUGCUCUCUAGAGAAUUCUCUUUGUCCUCUGAAGUAAAUAGAGAUCAUGUCUUCCCCAGCCACACUCAGUGAUCUGAAUCUCUUGGACUGUGGAUUUUUCCUUUACCUGCUGUGAAGCCUUGAAAAGUAUGAAUUAGCUAGAUAAUGAUCCUCUAAAGAUGUUCAAGAGUUAAAGAUGUGUUUAAGUUCUUCAGGCAAUCCAAUAUGACUACGGGUUUCCAAAAAUUUGAAGGAAACUGAAAAUCAUAGUUCCCAAACCAGAUAUUUUCCGGUGUCCAGAUGUUCACUGGCAUGCAAACCAAAUGUCUGGAUUAUGAGCUCCUUUUUUCAUUUCUUUUUAUCAGCUUACAUCCAGAUGUUGGAUCCAACUGGUCAGAGGCCUGGGGCAGAGACAGAAAUCAAAUCUAGGGUGUUCAUCUAGAGUCUCCUGCUCCUCCAUUCCUGCUUCCUCCUCACGCUGCCCCCACAUCCUCCCCAACUCACCUUCAUGCUACAUCUCGGCAAAUACAGCUCAUAUCCAGGCACGGUGCAGCCCUUGACAGCUGGGUCCGCAAAGGCAGAUCAGGUAUAUCUUUAAAGAAAAGUUAUCUUAACCAUUGAGAAGCCUUCCUUCCUCAGAGGAGAGCACCUCCCCAGCAGACCUCCGAGGAGACCAAGGGCAGGACAGGAAGGGUGAAAGGAAGUUUCAGGACUGCAGGAAAUAAGAGCUUGGAGGUCAAGGGAGAGAUCAGAUAAAACAUGAAUCUGAUCAGCAUCCUAGUGGUCUAGAGUGGAGACAAUCUGCGGAGUCAACCUCAGUAAGGACACACAUAGUCAGAGAAGAACCAAAGCCUCUAAAGACGAAGCUGAGAAGUGUAUGGUCGUAGAAGACUCGUGUCUGUUAUUCUUAAAAGCUCAAGGAGAUGUUCUGCCAAUUGAAUGGAAACUGUCCAUAGUGGGGAGCAGAGAGCCUCAUCUUUUCUGGAACUGAACAUCCAUCCUUAAGGCCAGAUUUCUCCCACCACCAACUUUAACUCCUGCCCUAGCCCUCUCUCUUCCUUUUCAAAACCCUCUCCACCCAGGAAGGGAGAUUCUGGAGCCAAGACUGUACCAGCCACACCUCCCCAGAGUUGUUAAGGAAGGAACUUGAAGCCAGGGGUGGUCCUCUGGCAAGCACCCCCACUACCAGUAGCAG
RNAcentral lists this long non-coding RNA (2095 nucleotides) under Pan troglodytes (chimpanzee). RNAcentral's name for it is "lincRNA". The record is from RNAcentral. Lineage: Eukaryota; Metazoa; Chordata; Mammalia; Primates; Hominidae.